AUUGAACGCUGGCGGUAUGCUUAACACAUGCAAGUCGAACGAUGAGAAAGAGCUUGCUCUUUCGAUUAGUGGCGGACGGGUGCGUAACGCGUAGGAAUCUACCUAUUAGUGGGGGACAACUUAGGGAAACUUAAGCUAAUACCGCAUACGCCCUACGGGGGAAAGAAGGGGAUCGCAAGACCUUUUGCUAAUAGAUGAGCCUGCGUAGGAUUAGCUAGUUGGUGGGGUAAAAGCUCACCAAGGCGACGAUCCUUAACUGGUUUGAGAGAAUGAUCAGUCACACUGGGACUGAGACACGGUCCAGACUCCUACGGGAGGCAGCAGUGGGGAAUAUUGGACAAUGGGCGAAAGCCUGAUCCAGAAAUACCGCGUGUGUGAAGAAGGCCUUAGGGUUGUAAAGCACUUUCAAUUGGAAGGAAAACCUCGAAGCUAAUACCUUCGAGUUUGACAUUACCUUUAGAAGAAGCACCGGCUAACUCCGUGCCAGCCGCCGCAGUAA
This 499-nucleotide ribosomal RNA is filed under the name uncultured bacterium. RNAcentral describes it as "partial 16S ribosomal RNA". It matches the Rfam family "Bacterial small subunit ribosomal RNA", at positions 30 to 523 of the family's 1533-position model. The record is from RNAcentral.